RNAcentral lists this ribosomal RNA (447 nucleotides) under uncultured bacterium. RNAcentral describes it as "bacterial SSU rRNA". It matches the Rfam family "Bacterial small subunit ribosomal RNA", at positions 330 to 794 of the family's 1533-position model. The record is from RNAcentral.
CCCAGACUCCUACGGGAGGCAGCGGUGGGGGAUAUUGCACAAUGGGCGAAAGCCUGAUGCAGCGACGCCGCGUGAGGGAAGACGGUCUUCGGAUUGUAAACCUCUGUCUUUGGGGAAGAAUAGAGACGGUACCCAAAGAGGAAGCUCCGGCUAACUACGUGCCAGCAGCCGCGGUAAUACGUAGGGAGCGAGCGUUGUCCGGAAUUACUGGGUGUAAAGGGAGCGUAGGCGGGCUUGUAAGUUGAAUGUCUAAUCCACCGGCUCAACCGGUGAUCGCGUUCAAAACUGCAGGUCUUGGGUACUGGAGAGGCAGACGGAAUUCCUAGUGUAGCGGUGAAAUGCGUAGAUAUUAGGAGGAACACCAGUGGCGAAGGCGGUCUGCUGGACAGCAACUGACGCUGAGGCGCGAAAGCGUGGGGAGCAAACAGGAUUAGAUACCCCUGUAUA